Molecule: ribosomal RNA, 219 nt
Filed under: uncultured bacterium
Lineage: Bacteria
Description: partial 16S ribosomal RNA
Rfam family: Bacterial small subunit ribosomal RNA
Source: RNAcentral
CGGACGGGUGAGUAACGCGUAAGAACCUGCCCUUGGAGGGGGACGAACAGCUGGAAACGGUUGCUAAUACCCCAUAAGCUGAGGAGCGAAAGGAGGAAUCCACCUAAGGAGGGGCUUGCGUCUGAUUAGCUAGUUGGUGAGGCAAUGGCUUACCAAGGCGACGAUCAGUAGCUGGUCUGAGAGGAUGAUCAGCCACACUGGGACUGAGACACGGCCCAG